Molecule: ribosomal RNA, 497 nt
Filed under: uncultured bacterium
Lineage: Bacteria
Description: partial 16S ribosomal RNA
Rfam family: Bacterial small subunit ribosomal RNA
Source: RNAcentral
GAUGAACGCUGGCGGCGUGCCUAAUACAUGCAGGUCGAGCGAACAGACGAGGAGCUUGCUCCUCUGACGUUAGCGGCGGACGGGUGAGUAACACGUGGAUAACCUACCUAUAAGACUGGGAUAACUUCGGGAAACCGGAGCUAAUACCGGAUAAUAUAUUGAACCGCAUGGUUCAAUAGUGAAAGACGGUUUUGCUGUCACUUAUAGAUGGAUCCGCGCCGCAUUAGCUAGUUGGUAAGGUAACGGCUUACCAAGGCAACGAUGCGUAGCCGACCUGAGAGGGUGAUCGGCCACACUGGAACUGAGACACGGUCCAGACUCCUACGGGAGGCAGCAGUAGGGAAUCUUCCGCAAUGGGCGAAAGCUUGACGGAGCAACGCCGCGUGAGUGAUGAAGGUCUUCGGAUCGUAAAACUCUGUUAUUAGGGAAGAACAAAUGUGUAAGUAACUAUGCACGUCUUGACGGUACCUAAUCAGGAAGCCACGGCUAACUACGUG